Molecule: ribosomal RNA, 253 nt
Filed under: uncultured bacterium
Lineage: Bacteria
Description: partial 16S ribosomal RNA
Rfam family: Bacterial small subunit ribosomal RNA
Source: RNAcentral
UACGAAGGGGGCUAGCGUUGUUCGGAAUUACUGGGCGUAAAGGGCGCGUAGGCGGUUUUGUAAGUCGGGCGUGAAAGCCCUGGGCUUAACCCAGGAACUGCGCUCGAUACUGCGAGACUAGAGUCCGGGAGAGGAGAGUGGAAUUCCCAGUGUAGAGGUGAAAUUCGUAGAUAUUGGGAAGAACACCAGUGGCGAAGGCGGCUCUCUGGACCGGUACUGACGCUGAGGCGCGAAAGCGUGGGGAGCAAACAGG